RNAcentral lists this ribosomal RNA (703 nucleotides) under Enterococcus faecium. RNAcentral describes it as "partial 23S ribosomal RNA". It matches the Rfam family "Bacterial large subunit ribosomal RNA", at positions 1500 to 2210 of the family's 2925-position model. RNAcentral also lists the same sequence under 1 other name. The record is from RNAcentral. Lineage: Bacteria; Bacillati; Bacillota; Bacilli; Lactobacillales; Enterococcaceae.
GGAAAUGUCUGUCCAAGCAGUAAGUCUGAAGAGGAGUCAAAUGCUUCUUUUCUUAAGGACAAGCUGUGAUGGGGAGGGAAAUAAUAGUACCGAAGUUCCUGAUGUCACACUGCCGAGAAAAGCUUCUAGUGAGAAAACAGCGGCCCGUACCGCAAACCGACACAGGUAGUCGAGGAGAGAAUCCUAAGGUGAGCGAGAGAACUCUCGUUAAGGAACUCGGCAAAAUGACCCCGUAACUUCGGGAGAAGGGGUGCUGAUCAUACGAUCAGCCGCAGUGAAUAGGCCCAAGCGACUGUUUAUCAAAAACACAGGUCUCUGCAAAAUCGUAAGAUGAAGUAUAGGGGCUGACGCCUGCCCGGUGCUGGAAGGUUAAGAGGAGUGCUUAGCGCAAGCGAAGGUACGAAUUGAAGCCCCAGUAAACGGCGGCCGUAACUAUAACGGUCCUAAGGUAGCGAAAUUCCUUGUCGGGUAAGUUCCGACCCGCACGAAAGGCGUAACGAUUUGGGCACUGUCUCAACGAGAGACUCGGUGAAAUUUUAGUACCUGUGAAGAUGCAGGUUACCCGCGACAGGACGGAAAGACCCCAUGGAGCUUUACUGUAGUUUGAUAUUGAGUGUCUGUACCGCAUGUACAGGAUAGGUAGGAGCCGUAGAAAUCGGAACGCUAGUUUCGAUGGAGGCGCUGGUGGGAUACUACCCCUGCG